Molecule: ribosomal RNA, 446 nt
Filed under: uncultured bacterium
Lineage: Bacteria
Description: partial 16S ribosomal RNA
Rfam family: Bacterial small subunit ribosomal RNA
Source: RNAcentral
CCUACGGGAGGCAGCAGUCGAGAAUCAUUCACAAUGGGGGCAAGCCUGAUGGUGCGACGCCGCGUGUGGGAAGGAAGGUCUUCGGUUUGUAAACCCCUGUCAUGUGGGAGCAAAGGAAAAAGAUAGUACCACACGAUGAUGAGAGGGCUAUCUCUGUGCGAGCAGCCGCGGUACUACAGAGGGCUCAAGCGUUGUUCGGAAUCACGGGGCGUAAUGCGUGUGCAGGGUGUUUCGUAAGUCGUGUGUGAAAGGCGCGGGCUCAACCCGCGGACGGCAUAUGAUACUGCGAGGCUAGAGUAAUGGAGGGGGAACUGGAGUUCUAGGUGUAGCAGUGAAAUGCGUAGAUAUCGAGAAGAACACUCGUGGCGAAGGCGGGUUCCUGGGCAUUAACUGACGCUGAUGCACGAAGGCGAGGGGAGCGAAAGGGAUUAGAUACCCCGGUAGUC